AAUACCUAGGAAUCUGCCUGGUAGUGGGGGAUAACGUUCGGAAACGGACGCUAAUACCGCAUACGUCCUACGGGGGAAAGCAGGGGACCUUCGGGCCUUGCGCUAUCAGAUGAGCCUAGGUCGGAUUAGCUAGUUGGUGAGGUAAUGGCUCACCAAGGCUACGAUCCGUAACUGGUCUGAGAGGAUGAUCAGUCACACUGGAACUGAGACACGGUCCAGACUCCUACGGGAGGCAGCAGUGGGGAAUAUUGGACAAUGGGCGAAAGCCUGAUCCAGCCAUGCCGCGUGUGUGAAGAAGGUCUUCGGAUUGUAAAGCACUUUAAGUUGGGAGGAAGGGCAUUAACCUAAUACGUUAGUGCUUUGACGUUACCGACAGAAUAAGCACCGGCUAACUCUGUGCCAGCAGCCGCGGUAAUACAGAGGGUGCAAGCGUUAAUCGGAAUUACUGGGCGUAAAGCGCGCGUAGGUGGUUUGUUAAGUUGAAUGUGAAAUCCCCGGGCUCAACCUGGGAACUGCAUCCAAAACUGGCAAGCUAGAGUAUGGUAGAGGGUAGUGGAAUUUCCUGUGUAGCGGUGAAAUGCGUAGAUAUAG
Molecule: ribosomal RNA, 591 nt
Filed under: Pseudomonas sp.
Lineage: Bacteria; Pseudomonadati; Pseudomonadota; Gammaproteobacteria; Pseudomonadales; Pseudomonadaceae
Description: bacterial SSU rRNA
Rfam family: Bacterial small subunit ribosomal RNA
Source: RNAcentral